RNA transcript from Brachypodium distachyon (stiff brome), 1964 nucleotides. It is a transcript of the gene named mediator of RNA polymerase II transcription subunit 19a, with no coding region annotated. NCBI's taxonomy places the organism in Eukaryota, Viridiplantae, Streptophyta, Magnoliopsida, Poales, Poaceae. The record is from RefSeq and is a predicted model, not a curated record. The transcript is spliced from 7 exons.
ACGCGCGACCUCCAGCCCUAGCCGCCGACCCACCUCUCCUGUUCCUGAUUCCCCUCCUCCUCCUCCGAGUUUCAGUCCCUCGGCAUCCAAGCGGUGGGUGGCACAACGCUGAAUCCAGCAUCCGCGGGCGGCGGGCGGCAGCGCCACGCCUACUCCAGCAGCCGUAGGUCCUCAUUCGGUCCUCCCUUCUCCACCGGCUGGCGCAUGAGGUAGGGUGGCUGGCAGCGACCUCGGUGGCUCGGUGGAAGAACAACGGCGAUACUGUUCUUUUUCUCUGUUCAUUUCGGGAGUAGAUAUUUCGGGUUUGUUUGGUUAAAACCGAGAACCGAACCGAACCGAACAUUUGGGAACGAAUUUUCCUACCAAGCUCCGCCAAUCCGGCCCUUUGACCUAGAGCUCCCGCCGUGCCAUAGCCCAGCAUCACGGCCAGAGGUCUCAUCCUCGCCACCCACUGUCAUAUCCUCCCUCCCGAGCUAGGGUUCCUGCCUCCGCCGCCACACCCUCCCAGCUCCGCCACCGGACGCCCCGCUCUCAUCCCGCCCGCCUCCCCUGCCAAUCGUGGACCUCGUCCUCCUCCGGUGAAGCGAAGCCGCAGGCGAACCAGAACUCCAGAAGCAGCAGUUCUCGUCCUCCCGCUGCCCGACCAGCUCACCACCGGACGUUCUCCGCCAUCCUAGCUCGCUGCUCCCCCUCCUCCCGGCAGGACCAGGUCGCCAUCUCCCCCGCCGGAACAGCACCACCAGCCGCCGGACGAGCCCUCUCCAACCUCCUCCACAUCGCUGUCUGCCAUAAGGUGGACAUGCAUUUUGCAAAUGUCAGGAUCUAAUCAGAUGGAUUCUGAUGGCAAAUUUGGAAAAGGUCCUCGGGAGCUCACUGGUGCUGUUGAUUUAAUUAGCCGCUACAGGCUGCUGAAUCAUCACAGUUUCUUUUGCAAGAAACCAUUGCCGCUGGCUAUCUCAGAUACACAUUAUCUUAACAACGUUGUGGGUGACACAGAAAUCCGUAAAGGAGAAGGAAUGGAGAUAGAUCAACUCAUUCAGAAUUCACACCUGAGAGAGAACACUGCUUAUAUUCAACCUUUUGACAUGGAAACAUUAGGACACGCAUUUCAGUUGCGUGAAACAGCACCAGUAGAUUUGUCUUCGGCUGAAAAGGGUACUCCUACUAUAUCGGGAAAAUCAAAGCUUAAGUCCAGAGACAAAGUCAAGAAGCACAAAAAGCACAAGGAGAAAGACAAGGACAAGGAACAAAAGAAGCACAAACAUCGCCAUAAGGAUCGGAGUAAAGAUAAAGACAAAGACAAAGAAAAAGAAAAGGAAAAAAAGAAGGAUAAGAGUGUCCAUGAUUUGGGAGGUGAUCAUUCCAAAAAACAUCAUGAGAAGAAGAGGAAGCAUGAAGGAAUGGAAGACUUGGCAGAUGUGCGUAACCACAAAAAAAGUAAGCACAAAAGCGCAAAAAUUAAUCAAAUGGGGAAUGAACGUUGUUAGGUGCCAGAUGUGACAACUUCUUUUCUGUGUUAGUUCUCGUAAUAUGGCUCCAUGUUUUCUGCUGUUAAAGGGUGGCUCUGAAGUUUUUUGGUCAAACCACUUCCGAUAGAGUUACUGCAAAUGGAAUUUUCUUCAUCAAGCUGCGCAGACUUGAAAAGAGCACUUCAAAGUGGAUCAUGAUAUGCUAGAAAUCUGGGAGAACUCUGAACUUGUCGUAUGGAAUGAUUUGACCUGUUAAUUGUUACGUCAGUUUUUCGCUUAUCAGCAAUUCUUCAGUGUUGCCGAUGUAUGUCCAGCUCUGCUACAUGUAUGCCAUACCCAUGUCCUGUAAUCCUGACAACAACAACAAAAAACUGGGCUUAUUGUCAAUACGCAUGAUGUGACCAUGUACAACGGAGAAGCUAAGUAGCAGACACAUACCAUGAUCCAGCAAAGUGAUGAACCUAUAAACUAUGGGAUUUGCAACACUUCCUACGA